RNAcentral lists this ribosomal RNA (2904 nucleotides) under Salmonella enterica subsp. enterica. Its description in RNAcentral is "bacterial LSU rRNA". It matches the Rfam family "Bacterial large subunit ribosomal RNA". The record is from RNAcentral. Lineage: Bacteria; Pseudomonadati; Pseudomonadota; Gammaproteobacteria; Enterobacterales; Enterobacteriaceae.
UUAAGCGACUAAGCGUACACGGUGGAUGCCCUGGCAGUCAGAGGCGAUGAAGGGCGUGCUAAUCUGCGAUAAGCGCCGGUAAGGUGAUAUGAACCGUUAUAACCGGCGAUACCCGAAUGGGGAAACCCAGUGUGACUCGUCACACUAUCAUUAACUGAAUCCAUAGGUUAAUGAGGCGAACCGGGGGAACUGAAACAUCUAAGUACCCCGAGGAAAAGAAAUCAACCGAGAUUCCCCCAGUAGCGGCGAGCGAACGGGGAGGAGCCCAGAGCCUGAAUCAGCAUGUGUGUUAGUGGAAGCGUCUGGAAAGGCGCGCGAUACAGGGUGACAGCCCCGUACACAAAAGCGCAUAUGCUGUGAGCUCGAUGAGUAGGGCGGGACACGUGGUAUCCUGUCUGAAUAUGGGGGGACCAUCCUCCAAGGCUAAAUACUCCUGACUGACCGAUAGUGAACCAGUACCGUGAGGGAAAGGCGAAAAGAACCCCGGCGAGGGGAGUGAAAAAGAACCUGAAACCGUGUACGUACAAGCAGUGGGAGCACCCUUUGGGGUGUGACUGCGUACCUUUUGUAUAAUGGGUCAGCGACUUAUAUUCUGUAGCAAGGUUAACCGAAUAGGGGAGCCGGAGGGAAACCGAGUCUUAACCGGGCGUUAAGUUGCAGGGUAUAGACCCGAAACCCGGUGAUCUAGCCAUGGGCAGGUUGAAGGUUGGGUAACACUAACUGGAGGACCGAACCGACUAAUGUUGAAAAAUUAGCGGAUGACCUGUGGCUGGGGGUGAAAGGCCAAUCAAACCGGGAGAUAGCUGGUUCUCCCCGAAAGCUAUUUAGGUAGCGCCUCGUGAAUUCAUCUCCGGGGGUAGAGCACUGUUUCGGCUAGGGGGCCAUCCCGGCUUACCAACCCGAUGCAAACUGCGAAUACCGGAGAAUGUUAUCACGGGAGACACACGGCGGGUGCUAACGUCCGUCGUGAAGAGGGAAACAACCCAGACCGCCAGCUAAGGUCCCAAAGUCAUGGUUAAGUGGGAAACGAUGUGGGAAGGCCCAGACAGCCAGGAUGUUGGCUUAGAAGCAGCCAUCAUUUAAAGAAAGCGUAAUAGCUCACUGGUCGAGUCGGCCUGCGCGGAAGAUGUAACGGGGCUAAACCAUGCACCGAAGCUGCGGCAGCGACGCUUAUGCGUUGUUGGGUAGGGGAGCGUUCUGUAAGCCUGUGAAGGUGGCCUGUGAGGGUUGCUGGAGGUAUCAGAAGUGCGAAUGCUGACAUAAGUAACGAUAAAGCGGGUGAAAAGCCCGCUCGCCGGAAGACCAAGGGUUCCUGUCCAACGUUAAUCGGGGCAGGGUGAGUCGACCCCUAAGGCGAGGCCGAAAGGCGUAGUCGAUGGGAAACAGGUUAAUAUUCCUGUACUUGGUGUUACUGCGAAGGGGGGACGGAGAAGGCUAUGUUGGCCGGGCGACGGUUGUCCCGGUUUAAGCGUGUAGGUGUGUGUUCCAGGUAAAUCCGGUUCACUUUAACACUGAGGCGUGAUGACGAGGCACUACGGUGCUGAAGCAACAAAUGCCCUGCUUCCAGGAAAAGCCUCUAAGCAUCAGGUAACAUCAAAUCGUACCCCAAACCGACACAGGUGGUCAGGUAGAGAAUACCAAGGCGCUUGAGAGAACUCGGGUGAAGGAACUAGGCAAAAUGGUGCCGUAACUUCGGGAGAAGGCACGCUGACACGUAGGUGAAGUGAUUUACUCACGGAGCUGAAGUCAGUCGAAGAUACCAGCUGGCUGCAACUGUUUAUUAAAAACACAGCACUGUGCAAACACGAAAGUGGACGUAUACGGUGUGACGCCUGCCCGGUGCCGGAAGGUUAAUUGAUGGGGUCAGCGCAAGCGAAGCUCCUGAUCGAAGCCCCGGUAAACGGCGGCCGUAACUAUAACGGUCCUAAGGUAGCGAAAUUCCUUGUCGGGUAAGUUCCGACCUGCACGAAUGGCGUAAUGAUGGCCAGGCUGUCUCCACCCGAGACUCAGUGAAAUUGAACUCGCUGUGAAGAUGCAGUGUACCCGCGGCAAGACGGAAAGACCCCGUGAACCUUUACUAUAGCUUGACACUGAACAUUGAGCCUUGAUGUGUAGGAUAGGUGGGAGGCUUUGAAGCGUGGACGCCAGUCUGCGUGGAGCCGACCUUGAAAUACCACCCUUUAAUGUUUGAUGUUCUAACGUGGACCCGUAAUCCGGGUUGCGGACAGUGUCUGGUGGGUAGUUUGACUGGGGCGGUCUCCUCCUAAAGAGUAACGGAGGAGCACGAAGGUUGGCUAAUCCUGGUCGGACAUCAGGAGGUUAGUGCAAUGGCAUAAGCCAGCUUGACUGCGAGCGUGACGGCGCGAGCAGGUGCGAAAGCAGGUCAUAGUGAUCCGGUGGUUCUGAAUGGAAGGGCCAUCGCUCAACGGAUAAAAGGUACUCCGGGGAUAACAGGCUGAUACCGCCCAAGAGUUCAUAUCGACGGCGGUGUUUGGCACCUCGAUGUCGGCUCAUCACAUCCUGGGGCUGAAGUAGGUCCCAAGGGUAUGGCUGUUCGCCAUUUAAAGUGGUACGCGAGCUGGGUUUAGAACGUCGUGAGACAGUUCGGUCCCUAUCUGCCGUGGGCGCUGGAGAACUGAGGGGGGCUGCUCCUAGUACGAGAGGACCGGAGUGGACGCAUCACUGGUGUUCGGGUUGUCAUGCCAAUGGCACUGCCCGGUAGCUAAAUGCGGAAGAGAUAAGUGCUGAAAGCAUCUAAGCACGAAACUUGCCCCGAGAUGAGUUCUCCCUGAGACUUAGAGUCUCCUGAAGGAACGUUGAAGACGACGACGUUGAUAGGCCGGGUGUGUAAGCGCAGCGAUGCGUUGAGCUAACCGGUACUAAUGAACCGUGAGGCUUAACCUU